GUGACAGCGGAAGACAGAGGUUGCGUUUGCAGCACGCAUUAUAGAUGCGUUGGAAUGAGCGAAUUUGUGGCAAAAAAACAACAACAUUAAACUCCAAACCAUAAUUCAUAACAUUCAGUUUAUACAGAAAUUAGAGCACCCGUGAAAGUGUCAGUUAUAUGGCCGUUUUCAAGAGUGUAGCCGGUGCCCUAUUUUUAUCUUUCAGCUUGUGUGCGUCACGAAUCCAGUGGCUGCGGUGACACUUAGCGUUGAUUUCGAGGUUACACACACAAGCUCAAACGUACAGGACUAUGAUUGGAACGCAAAACAAACAUGUCCUGCUCUCCUUCAGAAGCUUGCAGUGUUGGUUGCUGCUGGAUGCGUUGUGUGCCGCUGUAGGGAGUGUCUCUGUACUGAGGAAAUUCUUCUCAGGAAGUGGCGUAUAGGGACAGCUCGUCCAGCUGGGCACGAAUCACCCAUGAAUCUCCAGCGGUAUAGCGAGGGGGCAGGAAAUAGAACAGGAGGCGUUAACCUGAUAAGACUGCUGUUGCAGAGCGGGGACACUCUGUGUCUCUCUUUCUCCCUCCCUCUCUCAUUCUCUC
This is a long non-coding RNA of Cyprinus carpio carpio, 581 nucleotides long. The record is from Ensembl. Lineage: Eukaryota; Metazoa; Chordata; Actinopteri; Cypriniformes; Cyprinidae.